RNAcentral lists this ribosomal RNA (373 nucleotides) under uncultured organism. RNAcentral's name for it is "partial 16S ribosomal RNA". It matches the Rfam family "Bacterial small subunit ribosomal RNA", at positions 527 to 896 of the family's 1533-position model. The record is from RNAcentral.
GUAGGUGGCAAGCGUUGUCCGGAAUUAUUGGGCGUAAAGCGCGCGCAGGCGGUCCUUUAAGUCUGAUGUGAAAGCCCACGGCUCAACCGUGGAGGGUCAGUGGAAACUGGGGGACUUGAGUGCAGAAGAGGAGAGUGGAAUUCCACGUGUAGCGGUGAAAUGCGUAGAGAUGUGGAGGAACACCAGUGGCGAAGGCGACUCUCUGGUCUGUAACUGACGCUGAGGCGCGAAAGCGUGGGGGGAGCGAACAGGAUUAGAUACCCUGGUAGUCCACGCCGUAAACGAUGAGUGCUAAGUGUUAGAGGGUUUCCCGCCCUUUAGUGCUGCAGCUAACGCAUUAAGCACUCCGCCUGGGAGUACGGUCGCAAGACUA